Non-coding RNA from Pelobates cultripes (western spadefoot toad), 369 nucleotides. The record is from the annotation of a GenBank genome assembly. NCBI's taxonomy places the organism in Eukaryota, Metazoa, Chordata, Amphibia, Anura, Pelobatidae.
ACAGACACAGCACCCACACACAUACAGCACCCACACACAUACAGCACCCACAGACAUACAGCACCCACAGCCAUACAGCACCCACAUACAUUCAGCACCCACAUACACGCAGCACCCACAUACACACAGCACUCACAGACAUACACAGCACUCACACACAUACAGCACCCACACACACAUACAGCACCCUCACAAACACACACAGCACCCUCACAAACACACACAGCACCCUCACACACAGCACACAAACAGCACCCUCACACACACACAGCACACUAACAGUACCCCCACAAACACAAACAGGACCCUAACAAACACACACACAGCACACUACCAGUACCCUCACACACAAACAGCACCCUCACACAC